Molecule: ribosomal RNA, 959 nt
Filed under: Amynthas sp. HU201608-10
Lineage: Eukaryota; Metazoa; Annelida; Clitellata; Crassiclitellata; Megascolecidae
Description: partial small subunit ribosomal RNA
Source: RNAcentral
CAGCAUGUGUACUGCCGUUGUAAGCAUACCUCUAAAAGAUAAGUAUACUACUAUGAUUAUUAACUCAUUUACAUCAGGUCAAAGUGCAGCUAAUGAGGGGGUGAUGAUGGGUUACAACCCCUAAACAGACUAUCAACUAAGAAAUAAAAAAUCUUACGAAAGUGGACUUGGCCGUAAUCAAUUUAAAGAUAAAAAAAUGAAUAAUAUCUAAGACAUGCACACAUCGCCCGUCACUCUAUCCUAAAGGUUAGACAAGUCGUAACAAAGUAGGUGUAAUGGAAAUUGUACCUGUCGGAGUAUAGCAUAUAAAAUGCUUUUUACUUACACUAAAAAUAAAGUCUAAAGGCUUGCCCCGCCCACGUAAUAAUAUCUUACAACUAGAUAAUAAUUAAAACAAUUAAACAACUAACAUAUAAAGUACAGAGAUGGAAAAAAUAAUAAAUUAAAGUAAAUUUUAACAAGUGUACCUUGUGCAUUAUGGUCUUACAAGAAAGUAAUUAAACACACUAAUCCCGAAUUCUGAGUGAGAUGUUAAACUGCUGUUGAGCACCCAUUAAUAACUGUGGAAAAAGUUUUAAGAGACAGUUUAACAGAGGCUACAUACCAUCCGCAUAAGAAUAUAGCUGGUUUUUAAUUAACAUUAUACAUUAAAGCAUAUAAUUAUAUUAUAGUGUAAUAUUAUUGAGGAUAAGCCUAAUAAUUCAUGCAAUACAAAAUUAUUCUAUUAUAUCCCAUAGGCCUAAAAUCAGCCAACUAAAUUACCUUACCGUAAUAAAGAUAGAUAUAAUACAUAACAUAUAAUGCUAAAAUAGUUAAAAUGAUAGAAAAACUAAAUAUCUACCCCUAUUAUGUAAAAAUAAGUAUUAUAAAUUUAAAAAAUAAAAAUCUAGUAAUAACAGAACACAAAUUAAUAAUAAUUAAUUAAGGAACUCGGCAAAUUAUUAUUUCGACUGUUUAAC